GGCCUCGUAGCUCAGCUGGUAGAGCGUACGCUGUACAAAAAGCAUAGGCGGUGUCCAUGCGUGGGUUUGAAUCCCAGCGAGACUA
RNAcentral lists this transfer RNA (85 nucleotides) under Echinostoma caproni. It matches the Rfam family "tRNA". From Rfam's summary of the family: Transfer RNA (tRNA) molecules are approximately 80 nucleotides in length. Their secondary structure includes four short double-helical elements and three loops (D, anti-codon, and T loops). The record is from Rfam by way of RNAcentral. Lineage: Eukaryota; Metazoa; Platyhelminthes; Trematoda; Plagiorchiida; Echinostomatidae.